UACGUAGGUCCCGAGCGUUGUCCGGAUUUAUUGGGCGUAAAGCGAGCGCAGGUGGUUUAUUAAGUCUGGUGUAAAAGGCAGUGGCUCAACCAUUGUAUGCAUUGGAAACUGGUAGACUUGAGUGCAGGAGAGGAGAGUGGAAUUCCAUGUGUAGCGGUGAAAUGCGUAGAUAUAUGGAGGAACACCGGUGGCGAAAGCGGCUCUCUGGCCUGUAACUGACACUGAGGCUCGAAAGUGUGGGGAGCAAACAGG
Molecule: ribosomal RNA, 252 nt
Filed under: uncultured bacterium
Lineage: Bacteria
Description: partial 16S ribosomal RNA
Rfam family: Bacterial small subunit ribosomal RNA
Source: RNAcentral